GGAACUCCAAAAUAGGAGAGGCGGCAAAAUGUGAAACGCAGAGAAGUCUGCAUUUCCUUUCGCCCUUUCUUUCUCGCACCCACAGUUACACACACAUACACGCACGAACUCCACACAGUACUCAUAGAAGAUCCAUAAGUAACCGUUGCGCACUUGCAAUCACGAAAUCUCUCUCUCAUCCCCUGCAGCUUUUCUGAAUCGCACUUUCAGCUUCUCGUUGUUCGGAAGUUUUCCGAGUGUUGUUGUUGGUAAUUGAUGUUUCUAUUUUCAAUCUACAGCAUUGAUUUUAUUAGUAUUUGAGAUAUCUGUUAAUUACUUGAAAAACAUGCCAAUUAAUAGAUGCAUUUUGAAGUGACUGAUGUGUGAAUUAUAGUCAAAUUGAAGUUGUAAUUAACGUAUUCAUAUAAACAUCAAUGGCGAUUUGUAGAGGAAUCCGCGAUAAGUAGCCGCCGCUUUUUGCGUGCACUGAACAUGUUUGUAGGUGUGCGUAGCGAUAUAUGUUUUUAUGAUUGUAUUAGAACAACUCAUAAUUGCGUUAUACCUUGAUAUUCCUAAGCUACCAGGUUUUGUAAACCUGCAAAUUAAAGUGUAAAGUAGUUGUAUGUCAAAAGUUACACAUCCAUUGUCAUGUCGAACUCAAGGCAUUUGGCUUGAAUAUGCCAUUAGAUGGAGUAUAUAUAUUUCAGAAUCCACUCUCUUGACUCAAAAUUCAUUAUUCUGAAUUUUGAAUUUGCUGCUGCACAUGUUUAUGCUCACCUCAUAGCUAAUGCUUAUGUGCAGGUUGAAAGUUGCUCUUCAUUCUCUUCUAGUGACAUUUUGGAAAUUCGGAGUUGCAGAAAUCUUAUGGUAUACGAUUUUCUCAGCUUCAAAAAGGUACGAUAUGCAUCUCCGUUCAAUUGUGAUUUUCGAAACUGUAUGGCUGGGUAGUAGUGUAGUACAGUAGUUGCAAACAACAACCGUAUUUCUGUGUUGUUUUAGACAACUUAUGAAGUAGUAUGAAUAGGGUGUUAGUUUAAGCUAAUCUUUACCAGGGUGCUGGUAUCAUGAAUAUAUUGGUAUGCUCUUUGCAAGUCCUGGUUUAUAUAUUUACCCUUUAGUCUUAAUUAUGUUUAGUCGAAAACAGUGUUCAUUAUAACGUUGUUCCCUUGUUCAAGCUUUUACUACUUGAUAAGAUUUUGCUGCAGCUCCCGUCUAUGAAAAAAGGGGUUUUGUUUAGCUUGUGGGAAGCUUUUCCUUUUACGAAUUACCAUCAGAAUUAGUUUGCAAAUUCGCCUCAUGUUGGUGUUGCGGAGCCAAACCAGUUAUUUUGUAAUUUAGGAGCCAAGUGUAUUGAUUGACAUGGAAGAGAAUCAAUUUUUAUUACUCUUUUAUAUCCUCCGAGGAGAAAAUGAGACGUAUAAAAAUCAACUGAAUUUGAAUUUCAGUUGGCUAAAGAUACACUAGCCUGUUGAAGAAUUCGAUGAUCGUCACUAAUAGAAAUGACCACCCUAAGUAUCAGCUACAAUUUACUUACAAGUUAGACAAUACCUAUCUUUUCUUUCCUAAGGUUUAAAACAUCAUGGUACUGAUUACUGAAUGUUGCUAGCUUGUUCAGCCUAGGUGGCUGCCUUGCUGAUUCAGUAGGACACUGCUCCCUAGUUUUCAUCUGGCUUUCCUUUAGUCUUACUCAAUCUGCUGGCUGGAAAAUGCAACCGUGCCAUCAGUGGUCUUGGUGCCCGUGUCUUCUUGUCAAAACCCCUCACACAAACAAACCCUGCGAAAUAAAGUACUUGAUCAGAAAGCAAAUAAAAGGUAUUGCAGCAAGGAAUAACACUUCUUCCUCUUAGUGACCUGAAUGAUUACUAUUCCUCAAAAUUUUGUUUUUAUGAUUUGUCCUGAGAGUGUAUAAAGAAAGCAUGAAACUUGCCAACAUGUUUUUUGAUGCUGAGCAAGUUGUAAUACAUUCUUUUUGGAUGCCAAAGGUAUCUAAUUGUGCCGUUUCUUGUUUGGGAGUCAUCAUUCCGAAGAAGGAUUGAAUGAUGAUUAUGGACUUAAUAAAAAAGAAAAAGUUGAUUGAUGGAAACCUAACUGGUACACAUUAUGUGUAAUUGUUGAGAGCAUGCAUCUAUGUCUGUGUUUACUCUUAUUACUGUAUGUCACUCUUUUUUCAAGUGUAUACAUGUGUUCUGGCCCUGCUCCAUAGUCAAAAAUAGAGGAGACAGGGCUGAUUGGCUGAAGGGAAUACAGAUUUUUCUGUUCGAAAGAUGGACUAGAACCAAGAUAACAUGUUCAUAGAUUAUCUUAAAAAAGAUAAGCUGUCUGCAUUAAUCGGUCAUAAACAGAUUGGAUGAAGAAGCAAAUAUUAUCAACAUAUCUGCAAAUAAGACUCUGGUUUUAACUUUCUCUCGAACCAUCACGUCAGAUAUCCUCGAUGACUCACUCUAUACCAAAUGGUAAACCUUGGAGGUUCUUCAAUUAUUUCUAUAUAAGCUGUAUAAACUUGUUCUCCCAGAUUAUUUUUUCCCCAGUUUCAAGCUUUGUUCUGAUGCUGAAUGCUUAUGCCCAUUUAACUUGAUACAGAGUCUUUUUGAACUUGAAUAUGGUAUUAACAUGCACACUUUUCGUUGAUUUAUUUAGUAGAAAUGGAUUAGAAGUUAAGACAAGCAUUUGGACCUCUGUGGAUUUAAAGUUUUCGACUACAUACCUCUCCAAAAGCAAUGUUGGAUACUUUCUGUGGUUAGGCCUGAUUAACAAAGAACAUAUUAAUGUUAUUUUACUCCCAAAGCAUUUAAAAAAAUAAAUGAUCAUCCUUUAGUUGUCCUUUUACCUUUAAAUAUUGUUGGUAUUGAGGUUCCAAAGUAAACUGUUCGUCGCGGCAGAUUCCAUAGCCAAUCUCGUGGGACGUCAAUUGGGUUGAGGCUGGAGUCAUGGUCUGCAAACACCUGAGAAAUAAGAAAAAUGCUACUGUGAAAACCUUAUUAAAUGGUAAAAUGCUUAUCUUUGACAUGUUCGAGUGAUGAGCUUAAAGUCGGCUGUAUUCACCUCGUUAACUUGAAAGUAUGUACCAUUGAGCGGAAAGCUUCCUCUCAUUGCCGUUCGACAUGGUAUCUGUUAGAGAAGUAUAUAUAGAGAUGAUUAGAAUUCUCAGACCGCUUUCCCAUGACAAACAUUACAGUUAGUUUGCUCUUUCUUUACCAGAAUUGUCCCUCUCACUGUUUGAGAAUGUGCUUCACGUAGGCUGUUGCAUGCAAAGCAUGUUUCAUCAUCACAUAGCCUACCAGCCUCUUGGGAGUUGCACUUUAUUGCAGGUGGAUGAAUAGAAUCCGCUGUUUCACCUGAGAUGGAAUUGAUACAUGACAGAGAAUAAGUUAUUUUGAAAGCCUGGGGAAAAGUUAACCUAUUUCGCCAAAUUACCCUCUACCACUGUAACACAAGCUACUAAUGAGAUUGGAACCUGGGACUUGCAUAGUUAGCUAUGUGCAAUUGUUCCUUACAAACAUGAGUUAUCUAAUUCAUCAGUUUUAGGGUUAAAGUAGUCGGAAGCGGAUGCUUUGCCUUUAGCUUUUUCGAAACAUCUCCUCCUAUGUAUUACAUUACAUUAAUCUUACCAGGUGUCCAUAUUGCCAGAAGAUAGGAGCAUGGAUCAUCUGGUUCUCUUUUGUCGAACUGCAACAUGAAAAGAUGCAAUUAUCGGGAGGAUUAAUUUCAAUAUCAGCUUACAUGCUGCUUAUAUAUGAAUAUUAAACUGAUGUAGUAUCACUGACCCCUUCUAGGAGAGGAUGAGAAUCCGAAAGUUCAUAUCUGUGGAUGGAGAAACAGUUGAUAGUAAGUGCAAACAAAUUUAGAAGAACUGUAUGAAAUAAUAGGCUACCCUCCCAUAUUGGGCUAUCUAUCAGAAGUUAUUGCACAUCUUUACUUUAUUUUAUGAUGUAGAUAUCAGGAGCAUCCACUUACACUUGAUGUUCAGUUCUGAGCCGGCUUAUAUGCUUAAGUUUAGGCACGGGAAUCGAUGCAGCUUCUGGAGUUAAAGCGACCAAGGCUUUUGACAUUUCUACCUGUUGAAGCUCCAUAUUGUUUUCCAUAAAUUUCCUCACAUUUUGAGUGAACUCUGCCAUAUUCAAUGUAAUUGUAGGAAUUUCAUUAGGAUCUUCAAAGUAAGCAUCUUCAAUGUCAACUUCGGGAGCUUUUUGCUCUGGCUCAGGCGAGGCAAGCUCUUCUACAAUGGGCUCUGGUGUUGCUGGCACUUCAAUAAUAGGUGCGGAGUUGAUCAAUUUGGAAUGCUCUAAUGGUGUUUGAUCAGCCUGAGGUAAGGGCAGCGACAGUUGGCUGAAGUUCUGGAAUGGAUUCUGGCCAGCUGCUUUGUUUUCUGUUGCACUCACAAUGCUUUUCUCUUCUGGUGCUGGAAGGGCAAGCCUUGCGCUGAAUGAGGAUUGUGUCAAAUACCAUAUGUGAAACACAAUGCAUUCAAUCUUUAGACUAGUAAAUUGCUAAUCUAGUUGUAAGGCAUUACUGAAUGUGCUGACCAUAAGGGUAUUGGCUUGAGUUUGGCAGUUGAGAUGUAGCAGUUCUAUCUUAUACCAGAAGAAAUCAGUAAAUAUUAAAGUUUCUAUUGAAGUUGCUUCAUCACUGACGACACUGAGUGACUGACCAAUUUGUCAAAUGGUUCAUUUUUGAGUUUAAGUGCUGGUGGAUUAGCUUAAAUGCAAAUUUGUGUUGCCUAAGUAGAUUCGUCAAAUCUUGUUUCAGUGGCCACAAUUCUGGAACUAUGAUUCUUUGGUUUAGGUGUAGAAAAGCUUGAGAAGAACUAAUAAAGAUGGACAUACAUGAGAUAAAUAAAUUCUUGCAAGAAAGUAUAUAGACUAAUAGGCAAACCUUGCAAAAGCACUUGCGAAGUGUCUACAUUCUCCUCUCAAUGGACAUGCAUUGCAGUUGGGUUUGCUUUUUGUACAGAAGACCUAACAAAGUAGCAAAUGAACUUGAUUUAAACUGUGAUUGCACAUAUACACCAGUUUUAGGGGAGAGUAACUACUGGUAUUGGCAUACCUUUCCAAAAGUGAUCAUAUGGUAAUGCAACUCAUAUCUGUAAUCAAGUAGGGUUUGAAUCAGUAAAUGCAUCACUUGAUAAGAAGAAAAAGUAAUUUUCUAUGUUAAGUAUUAUGCAUGUAUAUAAUUUAUUAUUCCCUUUACAAAAAUCAACUACCUGAAUCUACUAGUCUGUCACACAAAUCUCUGCACUUUCUUACAAUCAAAAUCUUUUCUUCCACUAUGCAGUAUACUGUUAUAAUUGGAUCACUUACAUUUAAUAACAAACUAGUGCUUGUUGCCCAGGCCUGGGAAAAAUUGGUUUUCGAGAAAAGAAUGUUACUUACAAUGUUCUCUGAUCGAGCUUGCAGAGACGUGGCCAGAGGUACUUUUGAAUUGACUCCAGCACUGGGUACCUGUAGAAACAGCAG
Molecule: long non-coding RNA, 5432 nt
Filed under: Nicotiana tabacum (common tobacco)
Lineage: Eukaryota; Viridiplantae; Streptophyta; Magnoliopsida; Solanales; Solanaceae
Description: long non-coding RNA (NTAB_LNC000579)
Source: RNAcentral